AUUGGAAUCUGCAUUCGGGUUCCUUCAUGCUUGGACACGCCCUUAGUACACGCCUUUUGGGGGUGGGCUUAAGGGUAUAUAAUGGUUACACCAGGUAAGCUCACUUGCCAUUCACUCCUGGACACUGCAGCGGAUGGGUCUGCUAUCAGACCAUCCAGCUACUUCUGGCCAUUUCUGCCUGAUCUUCCAAUUCAUGGUCAUUUGGCAUACACUCUGCAAUUCUGCAUAAAAAUAUCUUCCUGGGAUAAACUUCUUGGAAAUGUAUUUUUCUUAUGGCAUGUGUUUAGAAUGAACUUUUGUUUAUUCACUCUGAGCUUUCCUUGCUGCGGACGUCCACCCAUGUGUGGAGGGAGACCAAGCCGGGUCCUUUUGGAGGAGGGGGAUGGAUCUCUUUUCUUUUAGAUGACAGACGCAUG
This is a long non-coding RNA of Rana temporaria (common frog), 416 nucleotides long. RefSeq lists it as uncharacterized. The record is from RefSeq and is a predicted model, not a curated record. The transcript is spliced from 2 exons. Lineage: Eukaryota; Metazoa; Chordata; Amphibia; Anura; Ranidae.